This 329-nucleotide ribosomal RNA is filed under the name uncultured bacterium. RNAcentral describes it as "bacterial SSU rRNA". It matches the Rfam family "Bacterial small subunit ribosomal RNA", at positions 182 to 507 of the family's 1533-position model. The record is from RNAcentral.
UCAGCAGGCAUCUAACGAGAACGAAAUGGUGUAAACGGGAGAAGGAUGGGGAUGCGUCUGAUUAGCUUGUUGCGGGGUAACGGCCCACCAAGGCGACGAUCAGUAGGGGUUCUGAGAGGAAGGUCCCCCACAUUGGAACUGAGACACGGUCCAAACUCCUACGGGAGGCAGCAGUGAGGAAUAUUGGUCAAUGGACGAGAGUCUGAACCAGCCAAGUAGCGUGCAGGACGACGGCCCUAUGGGUUGUAAACUGCUUUUAUAGGGGGAUAGAGUGUGCCACGUGUGGCAUAUUGCAGGUACCCUAUGAAUAAGGACCGGCUAAUUCCGUG